CCCACGGGGGGCUGCAGUGGGGAAUAUUGGACAAUGGGCGAAAGCCUGAUCCAGCCAUGCCGCGUGUGUGAAGAAGGCCUUCGGGUUGUAAAGCACUUUCAGUGGGGAAGAAAGCCUUGGGGCUAAUACCCUCGAGGAAGGACAUCACCCACAGAAGAAGCACCGGCUAACUCCGUGCCAGCAGCCGCGGUAAUACGGAGGGUGCGAGCGUUAAUCGGAAUUACUGGGCGUAAAGCGCGCGUAGGCGGUCUGAUAAGCCGGUUGUGAAAGCCCCGGGCUCAACCUGGGAACGGCAUCCGGAACUGUCAGGCUAGAGUGCAGGAGAGGAAGGUAGAAUUCCCGGUGUAGCGGUGAAAUGCGUAGAGAUCGGGAGGAAUACCAGUGGCGAAGGCGGCCUUCUGGACUGACACUGACGCUGAGGUGCGAAAGCGUGGGUAGCAAACAGGAUUAGAUACCCCUGUAGUC
RNAcentral lists this ribosomal RNA (465 nucleotides) under Vreelandella stevensii. RNAcentral describes it as "partial 16S ribosomal RNA". It matches the Rfam family "Bacterial small subunit ribosomal RNA", at positions 338 to 795 of the family's 1533-position model. Lineage: Bacteria; Pseudomonadati; Pseudomonadota; Gammaproteobacteria; Oceanospirillales; Halomonadaceae. The record is from RNAcentral.